GUGCCUACUUCAGCAACCCAUAUACUAAAAUCGGGAUGAUACAAAGGAGAUUAGCAUCGGCCCUGUAUAAGGAUGACAUGCAAAUUCAUACAUGGUUCCAUAUUUAA
This is a small nuclear RNA of Mesocricetus auratus (golden hamster), 107 nucleotides long. Lineage: Eukaryota; Metazoa; Chordata; Mammalia; Rodentia; Cricetidae. The record is from Ensembl.